UAAUGUUCUGAUUUCAGGAGUUCAACCUAAGCCUGCUAGCUCCAUGCUUAAGCCUAGGGAUGAGUGAAAUUUCUGGUGGCCAGAAGAGUCCCCUUUUUGAAGCAGCCCGUGAGGUGACUCUGGCCCGCGUGAGCGGCACUGUACAACAGCUCCCUGCUGUCCAUCACGUCUUCCAGCCCGGCCUGCCUGCAGAGCCGGCGGCCUACUGGAGCAAGUUGAAUGAUCUAUUUGGGGAUGCUGCUCUGUAUCAGUCCCUGCCCACUCUGGCCCGGGCCCUGGCACAGUACCUGGUGGUGGUCUCCAAACUGCCCAGUCAUUUGCACCUUCCUCCUGAGAAAGAGAAGGACAUCGUGAAAUUCGUAGUGGCAACCCUUGAGGUAAGAGGCAGCUCGGGAGCUCAGUGUUGCUGUGGGGAGGGGGCAUAGGGCUGACACUGAAGAGGGUAAAGCAGUUUUAUUUGAAAAGCAAGAGCUCUGACCAGUCCAGUCACUCUUCCAUCUCAGCGUGGCAGUAAGUCUUGUCACCGUCAAGUUAUUGUAGCCAUCCUUCACCCUCGCCUCGCCACUCCUCACGGUGGCCUGUGAGGUCAGCCAGGUCCCCUUCUCCUCUGCACCUACAAUGUUAUGUGCAUCCUAAUUUUAGAGACACGAAAAAUAAUCAUCUGGAAGUACUUUAUGUCUUAAGUUGGCCUGGACAUGUCAGCCAAGGAAUACUUGGUU
This 719-nucleotide small RNA is filed under the name Pongo abelii (Sumatran orangutan). RNAcentral's name for it is "retained intron". The record is from RNAcentral. Lineage: Eukaryota; Metazoa; Chordata; Mammalia; Primates; Hominidae.